Molecule: ribosomal RNA, 643 nt
Filed under: uncultured bacterium
Lineage: Bacteria
Description: bacterial SSU rRNA
Rfam family: Bacterial small subunit ribosomal RNA
Source: RNAcentral
GGCCUAUCAGCUUGUUGGUGAGGUAACUGCUCACCAAGGCAACGACAGGUAGCGGGUGUGAGAGCACUGACCGCCUCACUGGGACUGAGACACUGCCCAGACUCCUACGGGAGGCUGCAGUCGAGAAUCUUCCUCAAUGGCCGAAAGGCUGAAGGAGCGACGCCGCGUGUAUGAAGACGCUCUUCGGAGUGUAAAGUACUUUUAACUGGGAUGAAUCAAUGACAGUACCAGUUGAAUAAGGGGCUGCCAACCUCGUGCCAGCAGCAGCGGUAAUACGAGGGCCCCGAGCGUUAUCCAGAUUUAUUGGGCGUAAAGGGUCCGUAGGCGGUUUAUCGCAUCUCCUGUUAAAUCUCUUGGCUUAACCAAGAGGCUGCAGGAGAGAUGGAUAAACUAGAGGCCGGGAGAGGUAAGCGGAACUGCUGGUGUAGGGGUUAAAUCCGUUAAUAUCAGCAAGAACACCAAAUGCGAAGGCAGCUUACUAGAACGGUCCUGACGCUAAGGGACGAAAGCGUGGGGAGCGAAGAGGAUUAGAUACCCUCGUAGUCCACGCCGUAAACGAUGGAUGCUAAGUAUUGGGAGUUGUCGACCCUCUCAGUGCUGUUUACCUAAGUUAACACGUUAAGCACCCCGCCUGGGGAGUACG